Long non-coding RNA from Drosophila miranda, 533 nucleotides. RefSeq lists it as uncharacterized. The record is from RefSeq and is a predicted model, not a curated record. The transcript is spliced from 2 exons. Lineage: Eukaryota; Metazoa; Arthropoda; Insecta; Diptera; Drosophilidae.
UAAUUACAUAACCCCCCGCUUUGACAUGUGGCUGAUAAAAUUUUUCUUCGCCAAAAGGGGUCUGAGCUUUGCCAGUCGAUCUCGGUUUCUCCAGUGUAAUUUAAUAUUGACGAAAGUUAUCCAACGGAGGUCAAACUUCUGCCGCACAACGAAAAUUUGCGAUCAACCUUAUUUUUGACCUUGGCAGAGGACAUACAGUUGCCUCUGAAAUUCUAUGUCGUGGCCUGGAUAGGCACAGACAUAUCCAUAUCGGAUGUCUUCAAGGAAAAGGAUUGACACACACACACACACACUGAAUUCAACCGUAGCUACUAUUGCUAUUAUUAUUAUUUUUUUUGCAUUUAAAUUUUGUACAUUAUAAUCUAAUCUAGGACACAUCAAUGCAUGCAGGCCUGUUGCAGCGAUGGAAAACCAAACUUGCUGUAACUGUAGAUAAAUAAGAUGUUAUGAAGAUUUGAGGUGAUGCUGAGGAUGGUUGUUAGUUGGAGUGGAGUUAAAAUAUGAAAAUACACUGAAGAUUGAUCAACAUGAAA